GUACCACUAGCAGGCUGGCGAAAAUGUUCCGGUUGAAUUGAAUGGCUGAUUUGUCACCGGCGCUUUUUCGACGAGCUUUCCGUGGUUU
RNAcentral lists this microRNA precursor (88 nucleotides) under Rhipicephalus microplus (southern cattle tick). RNAcentral's name for it is "mir-5316 microRNA precursor family". It matches the Rfam family "mir-5316 microRNA precursor family". The record is from Rfam by way of RNAcentral. Lineage: Eukaryota; Metazoa; Arthropoda; Arachnida; Ixodida; Ixodidae.